RNAcentral lists this long non-coding RNA (609 nucleotides) under Phoenix dactylifera (date palm). Its description in RNAcentral is "long non-coding RNA (PDAC_LNC020680)". The record is from RNAcentral. Lineage: Eukaryota; Viridiplantae; Streptophyta; Magnoliopsida; Arecales; Arecaceae.
UCUCUAUAUCAAAAAAGUUGCUUUUCAUGAAGUUCAAGAUGUUAGAUUGGUAAGUUCCCUUUCAGCUACGGCAACAAUGAAGUCUUGGAAGGAACAACACAGUGAUAAAUCUCUAGGAAGACUCAGAUUUAAUCAUUUCCUGUGAAAUUCUAUUGUAGCGUUGAUUAUUCAAAACGACGAUGAGAGACCACUUUAUCCUUACCCUUUCAUUAUCUCAUGGAAUAUAUAUAUAUUUGUUCACUGAAUUGAGCAAACAAUUCUCAAUUAGUAGUGCACUCCACCUUUGGUUGAACUGAGCUUGCCUCUCAUUCUUUUCUUGCCAUGGCUGUGCUUUUAAUAGUUUGUUCGAGGGGGAAUUGAUUAUCUAUACUCUUUGGGAUUAUACAUAGUUUUGCGGAGCAGGAGACAUGAAAACUUAUCUAUAUUACACCAAUCUUUCUGUUUGGCACUGGCAUGCAAAAAAACACAGCUUUCUUCUUCACGCUAAACCCUUAGUUUGGUAAAAUUUGGCUCCAUUCUUAUGAACUCGUCUUUUUCUACUAGCAGUCUUAAGCCAAACCUUCCAUCUGUAAGACAAUGUCAUCCCCUGAACCUACGCAUAGAAAUUAG